AUCUAGCUGAUGAAUUCCAAACAGGACGAAACACGCGUCCUGGAU
Molecule: non-coding RNA, 45 nt
Filed under: Schistosoma mansoni
Lineage: Eukaryota; Metazoa; Platyhelminthes; Trematoda; Strigeidida; Schistosomatidae
Source: RNAcentral